This 253-nucleotide ribosomal RNA is filed under the name uncultured bacterium. RNAcentral describes it as "partial 16S ribosomal RNA". It matches the Rfam family "Bacterial small subunit ribosomal RNA", at positions 524 to 776 of the family's 1533-position model. The record is from RNAcentral.
CACGUAGGGUGCGAGCGUUAAUCGGAAUUACUGGGCGUAAAGCGUGCGCAGGCGGUUUUGCAAGCCGGAUGUGAAAUCCCCGGGCUUAACCUGGGAAUGGCAUUUGGGACUGCAAGGCUGGAGUGCGGCAGAGGAGACUGGAAUUCCUGGUGUAGCAGUGAAAUGCGUAGAUAUCAGGAGGAACACCGAUGGCGAAGGCAGGUCUCUGGGCUGACACUGACGCUCAUGCACGAAAGCGUGGGGAGCAAACAGG